Molecule: ribosomal RNA, 253 nt
Filed under: Blautia obeum
Lineage: Bacteria; Bacillati; Bacillota; Clostridia; Lachnospirales; Lachnospiraceae
Description: partial 16S ribosomal RNA
Rfam family: Bacterial small subunit ribosomal RNA
Source: RNAcentral
UACGUAGGGGGCAAGCGUUAUCCGGAUUUACUGGGUGUAAAGGGAGCGUAGACGGACUGGCAAGUCUGAUGUGAAAGGCGGGGGCUCAACCCAUGGACUGCAUUGGAAACUGUUAGUCUUGAGUGCCGGAGAGGUAAGCGGAAUUCCUAGUGUAGCGGUGAAAUGCGUAGAUAUUAGGAGGAACACCAGUGGCGAAGGCGGCUUACUGGACGGUAACUGACGUUGAGGCUCGAAAGCGUGGGGAGCAAACAGG